UUUAAGUGCAAUCAUAAAUUUUCGUGUCCAACUUUAAUCAUUUGUCUUAUUUAAAAAAAUUUUAUAAUUAGUUUUUUUAUUGUUAUGAGAUGAUAAAAUAUUAAUAGUAUUCUAUAUGUGACUUAUGUUUUUUAAAUUUUUUAAAAAAAUUUUAAAUAAGAUGGAUGGUAAAAGUUGUGAACGGAAAAUUAUGGCUGCACUUAAG
Oryza glumipatula is the source of this 205-nucleotide non-coding RNA. The record is from Rfam. NCBI's taxonomy places the organism in Eukaryota, Viridiplantae, Streptophyta, Magnoliopsida, Poales, Poaceae.